UCAGCUCUGAUGCAGAGUGACAUGGACCGUAGGACCUGUCAUCACUCAUGAAGUCAGUUCUGUUUCAAUGUUAAUAAGUCCUUAAUCAAGUCAUUUGUUUCCUCCAGGAUGUCACAUUUAGCAGUGAAUUGUCACAUGCUUGAAAACUGGAACCAUAGGAGAACUAUUUAAUGCUAAGUGGUAUCUGCAUCAUAUCUGAAGCUGGAACAUGCCAGGAAAACAUCCUUUACAUUCUGCAACUGAUAUUUCUGAGCUUUCAGGAUCAAUCAUGGCUUGGCUGGGUAAUUCUGGAGGGCUGCCCUGCCACAGAAGUGGGUCAGACCAGUUCCAGGAGCUGUGCAGUGCUUGGAUGGGGAUCCACCCAGCAACACCACCACAGUAAUGCCAGAUUGGGAAAUUUGCCCUACAGGAGUUUGUCUUGAUUAAAGGCUUCAGUCUGUCUUUGCAACACAAACACAGGAGCCCCCAUGCUGCUCUCUGAAUUUACAGCGUAUUUUCUUUUUACUCAAGCAUAUUGAAGCAGAACAGAAGAGAGGAUCAAAGGUGUAACUCUUGUGAUGACUGACAUUAUUAUGAAGCAUUUUCACUUUGAAAAAUGUGAUGGGCCAGAUGAUCCCUCCUUUGAAGGUUCUCCUUCAAAGGAAUGCUUUCAUCGCUGUUCUCCCAAACAAGGUAUUUCUUGUAACUUUAAAAGGAGAGAGUCCAACUCCAGGGCAAGUCAGUUCAAGGGCUGGGAAUGCCAGAGGCAGGAAGGACUGAAGAGCAGGUUCACCUCAGCAGGAACACCACAGCUUUACCCUCUCCAAGCAGAGCAGUUGUGUACUCCAAGUGAAGGACCAUGUGAACCUCUGGAGAAUUUUAACAUAGGUGCACUGAGCAGCCACAAGUGUUCAGAGCUUUCAAGCUGAAGUCACAGCUGAACAGCAGUUUGAAAAUCCCAACUUGAGAGACUACUUAGGAGGAGGAAAAGUUUCCACUUCUAAGUCUUUCCAAAGCCAGACUUUGUUGUAAGAGAUGGAAAAUCUGGGACUGAAAUCAUGUCAAUGAGUACCUGGGUCCUGCUGCUGCCCCCUCCCUUCCCUGUGCCCUGGUGCACCCUGGAGAGAGCAGAGAGGGGCACGUGCUGGUUCCAGUGUGAGAAUCAUGAAGCCUGGAUUAUUCACACAAAUUCUGGGGCAGUCUUCUGGCUUUUAAAUACUUCCUCGAAUGACUUGGUGAAAAAUGAGGAGCCAAGCAGGGUGCUGUUAGAAGCAAUGAGCCUUGUGAAAGCACUCAGAUGCCAUCCUGAUAACAGCCCGAGAAAAGCUCACAAGAAAAUCAGCAAUUGUGUCUUCCAAGCAGAUAUAAGUCGUGCACGUGCAAAAGGAUACCUGUGCCUAAAAACAAACAAAAUCUGAAUUCCAAAAUGGAUGUUGUUCAAUGAAAUGUGCAGGAUCUUAAAUCUUGGCUCUGCUGAAGAGAUGCUUCUUGGUGUCUGCAACAGGAUCCUGGAGUAUCUUCUCAGUGGAAAGGAACACGGAGUUCCCAAUUCCCUCACAUGGUGUCUGAUGCAAGUAAAGGAGUUUGCAGAUCUGAAGAUCUUUUUGAGGCACAGAGCCACUGCCUGCCAGCUACAGCCACAGCUGGUGGGGAAAUGAGGGCACAGAAAACAGGAGAUUUUUUCCUAAGUGGAUCUGGAUGCACAGCCCAUCCCUUUCAGAACCUCAGGGCCAUGGGACAGUGGCUGUGACAUCUCCAGUCUGCCCUGGCUGCUCAGACACCAACAUCAGCCCAAAGGGUCUCUCGAGGAAACGGGACAAGGAAACUGGUUUUACUGUUGUGAUGUUCCUGUGGUGCUGUUCUCCCUCUGGGCAGUGAUGCACAGCAGGGACUUAUCCAGAUGAUCUGAGGAGGAGCCACCUCACCAGUGUAAGACUGUAAGAGCUUCUUCACCCUGUUUUGGUCCAAGUUCCUGAGCUGAUAUCUCUGCACAACGUGUUGCUCAUCAAACACCCCAACUGUCCUCAGUAACAUUGCUGCUGUCAGCCAGCCAGUAACCUCUGCUCUGGCCAUCAAACAUCACCACUAAAAGUUCAAGACAGAUCUCCCCUCUAGUGUCACACAGAUCUGGCCCUUCCUUUCCUGGAGCCUGUCACACAGUGAUGGGACCCGACUGCCUCCUGGGCACCACACGGUUCCCUGCAUUUCAGAAUCUCAGCUGGAUCCUGGAUAGCUGGACACAACUGCUUCCCUGCCCUGAAACUGGAGCAAGAAGAGCCAGGACACCACCCCCAUGCCCUGCUUGUCCUGGCAGAGGGAGAGGAUGCUCUUUGCCUGAACAUUCCCUUCAGUGUGCAGCAGGUCUAAAGAUGUGACAACCACUUUGGUAUGUCCUCUGCCAUUCUGUGUGACAUAGCACACUUGGGAAUUUGCAGGCCUGAAGAUUUGCCCCUUACAAGAUUCCUGCAGGAAGCACACAGAAGAACAAAACUUUGGAUUAUGCCUGUGAUGGGAAAAGCUGCAGUGAUGACUGACUGGAAAGGCUGAUCCUUCUCACACCAAAUACCACUGCCUUGCCACCAGAUGGAGGCAACACGUUCAGCUGCAAACCCCAAAGCAGGACCCAGCAGGUCCUGCGGCGACAGGAGCGGCUCUGCCCGGCCCCUCUGGAGCCUCAGCCUGGGACUGAACCCCCAACUUCAGCUUCUCCACUUCAGACUCCUGGAAAGAUGGGAAGCCCUUGAGCCCUUGAAGGCUGUGAGCCACUUGACCACUGCUCUUCACUGGAUAAACCACUCCUGCUUGUUUAUCUUUCCUGCUUUUUCAUGCUCUGGACUAUCAAUAAGAAUUACUCAAAUAAUUCGAAGCUCAUCCCUGAGAGAAAAGCUGUAGCUGAAAGCCCAGGGCUGGGAUCACCCACUGGCUCCAGGAGAGCAGGUAUUGAUGGAGGCACUGGGGAAGUGUCAACUGGAUGAGGAGAACGAGGAGUCCUUUGGAAGAUUGGAAUAUUUUCCCAUUUGCUCCAGUCCUCUCUGCCUGGCAGUGGUGGCUGCCCCUGAGCCCGCCCUGGGAACGCUCUCCCCACACUCAGUGUACAUUGGCAGCCACUCUGCUUCCCACCCUGAGAACAUCCCACUCUGCUGCAGCACGACUGUGGGAGUUUGGCUUUGUUUGUUUUCCUUCCCCCCCAGGAGGAGGUUGUUCCCGAAAAUGCUCCCAGUGAUUCUCACCUCAGGUACCUCCCGUGGGUUCCCAGGCUGUGGUCUGGGCAGUGGGAAUAGCACACGGAGUCAUUCCUGCUGGUGCCCACAAUGAAACAGUAGAAAAUCAUGCAACAAUUGGCAUCUCAGUGGAGGAGGAAGGCACAGUGUUACCCUUUCUUUAUCAACCCAAGUCCUGGAGCUCAGCUCUGGCACCUCUGUACUGCAGAUAAAUCAUCACUGGGGCUUUCCCCGUCUUGUUUGUGCACAGUUAUUUACUCCACCCUUUUUUAAUUCCACUUUGGGCCUGAUCCUGCAAGCACCAGCUGACAGGAUUGUGCAGUCAGUUCUUCAGUGUCCAGAAGUGCAUGAUGUGCUCCGUGGCAGAGCAGCCUCUGCCUCCAGCCCCAGCUGAGCUCUGGUUUCCCCAGGCAGAGCUCUCAGCUCUGUGCAGUGUGUGAGGGGUGGUCUGGGAGGGUCCCCUGGGUAACUUGGCUUGCACAUUAAGUGGAAACUUUCAUUAUUUACCAACUGGUCAAAAUGACUUUGCUAUUGACAUAGGCUUCAUUAUGUCAGCCAUUCCAUCUUUGAAAACAUGGGCAUAACAAAGACAGAGCGGUGGCAGGGAGGGGGAAAUUCCAUUUCUUCCUAAAUUGAGUGGAAACAUCUUCAGGAAAAUUAAAGAAAAACCCGAGAGAAAGAGAAGAGCAAAAGAAUUAACUGUAGCCAAAGCCACUUUCCUUUUUCUUUUUCAAUCUCCCUUCCAACAUGCUCCUGGUAAAAUCAUUACAAAGGCCGUUUAUUUUUAAAAUUGAAAGAUUGGGGAGAGUCAUAAUGAGAUAUUAUGUGUAAAAGUUGCACAUAAAUUUCCUUCUGUCAUAUUUUGGGCUCUCCUAACGCAUCCCCUUGGCAGGCCUGAGGGAAGCUGAUCACUUUAGUAUAGAUUGUGUGUGCUUCAAUAAUAUUGCCCAAGGACAGAGCUACUGGGUGGCUGAGUUGGCUACAUACUGAUUUAAAAAUUAGCUGGGCUUUUAUUUGCCACACUAAAUUAUUGCUCUCCAAAAAAAAAAAAAAAAAAAAAAGGAAAAAUGAAAAA
Molecule: long non-coding RNA, 4275 nt
Organism: Pseudopipra pipra
Lineage: Eukaryota; Metazoa; Chordata; Aves; Passeriformes; Pipridae
Exons: 20
Source: RefSeq, a predicted model, not a curated record